This 306-nucleotide unclassified non-coding RNA is filed under the name Athalia rosae (coleseed sawfly). RNAcentral's name for it is "misc RNA ENSAEAG00005006210.1". Lineage: Eukaryota; Metazoa; Arthropoda; Insecta; Hymenoptera; Athaliidae. The record is from RNAcentral.
CUCUAGUUUUGGAUCCUGUGGCCCUACAAAUUUUAUCUCAUUGUGGAAACUGAAUUUUUAUUUAUUUGUGACUGAACAAUGUACAUUUGAACUUUACAGAAUAAUUAUCUUGGUAUCUUGGACGUAUAGCAGAGAGGAAAAAAUUUAUCCACGCAACGUUGGCUCUGAUUAUACGAAGAUUGUUUCGAUUUGGAAGCAUCCGAUAGAUUCAAGCAAAAUCAAGAACGUCCUGGGCUCGCGCUCAAACCGGUUGAUUUAUUGAUGAUCGCUUUAACUGCAGUCGGUACACGCUACCCCUACUGGCCG